CUUAGAAUCCAAUUAUGUUUUUAUGCGAAAUGUCUGAACCUGUCUGAAACAUCUCAGUGAUGCAACCUCUGUGUGGUGCUGAGGAUUCUCUGCCA
This 95-nucleotide small nucleolar RNA is filed under the name Dasypus novemcinctus (nine-banded armadillo). Its description in RNAcentral is "Small nucleolar RNA SNORD91 family (ENSDNOG00000029257.2)". It matches the Rfam family "Small nucleolar RNA SNORD91 family". Rfam says of the family: The members of this family belong to the C/D class of snoRNAs which contain the C (UGAUGA) and D (CUGA) box motifs. Most of the members of the box C/D family function in directing site-specific 2'-O-methylation of substrate RNAs. The record is from RNAcentral. Lineage: Eukaryota; Metazoa; Chordata; Mammalia; Cingulata; Dasypodidae.